This 263-nucleotide long non-coding RNA is filed under the name Physcomitrium patens. RNAcentral's name for it is "long non-coding RNA (PPAT_LNC011614)". The record is from RNAcentral. Lineage: Eukaryota; Viridiplantae; Streptophyta; Bryopsida; Funariales; Funariaceae.
UCAUCAUGUUCGCCAUCUGUAUGAAGAGGUAAUAAACAUGGCAGAAACUUCGUCGUCACUUGUUGUUUACCAAAAGUCAUCUCCUCCAUGCUUCCGAAAACUGUAGUUAAAGUAACCCAUGUGAGGAACUGUUCGUAAACUAACGAUCCCAUCGUUUUAACGUUCAUACUGGUAAAGAAAAAUCGAACACCCCCUUUGAGAUCAUGGCGUCGGCCUCUUUGCAACCAAAUAUUUCCAGCCGCUGCUGCUGCUGCAGCCGGUGG